CGAGCGGGAGUCACCCCUGCUUAGGGUAAGUGUGUCUCGGGUGAGCAUGCAAUGAACGUGCUCGCAUGUCACUCGGCCCACUACCCAAGAUUGUUC
MicroRNA precursor from Bos indicus x Bos taurus (hybrid cattle), 96 nucleotides. Ensembl annotates it as microRNA 668. Its record names the gene MIR668. Lineage: Eukaryota; Metazoa; Chordata; Mammalia; Artiodactyla; Bovidae. The record is from Ensembl.